CUUUGCUAAAAAAACUAAGUCCUGGAUUUGUCCUGGUGUCUUUUGGUGUAAUUGCACCAUUGGUAGUCAGUGAAUCACAGUUGAGGAUUGUGAUUGGUUUGGAGCCUGUAUGUGUGCUGCAUGAAAGUUGAAUAUGGAUCCAUUCCGGAGCCACUUCAGGUUUUCCCGACAGCUGAGACACAGUUGGAUAAACCCACGCUGGAAACAGCACAUAAAACCUCUCUGAGCAGGAAUGACAAAGCACGAGAUCCCAGCUGAGAUCUGUCUAUAUAUGCUCUAAACUUUUAGACAAUGGGUUUCAAUUGGCUGUGUCUAUACAUAUAAUCUUGUUUGUUUAAAUGUGAUGUUUUAUAAGAACUUAUGUAGACAAUCCAGUGCUUUAUAUAACAUAAAAACAUAAAACAGACCAUUUAAACCAGUCUUUAUCUCGUCUCUUGACAACUAGGAGUGGCUUUGAAUUCAGUUUGUUGUCUGUCCUGUUUUUUUAGUUUUCUUCUUUUCAAAUCCUCAUUCUCUCUCUGUCUAUUAAAAAUGAUCUCUCAA
Molecule: long non-coding RNA, 543 nt
Organism: Cyprinus carpio (common carp)
Lineage: Eukaryota; Metazoa; Chordata; Actinopteri; Cypriniformes; Cyprinidae
Exons: 2
Source: RefSeq, a predicted model, not a curated record